Molecule: transfer RNA, 66 nt
Filed under: Tropostreptus sigmatospinus
Lineage: Eukaryota; Metazoa; Arthropoda; Diplopoda; Spirostreptida; Spirostreptidae
Description: tRNA-Asn
Source: RNAcentral
UUAGCUAAAGCCAAAAUUAGGCAUGUUACUGUUAAUAACCAUUUGGACACUAAAGUCCUUGCUAAG